AAAGGGCGCGUAGGCGGACUGGUUAGUCAGAUGUGAAAUUCCUGGGCUUAACCUGGGGGCUGCAUUUGAGACGGCUGGUCUAGAGUGGGGAAGAGGGUCGUGGAAUUCCCAGUGUAGAGGUGAAAUUCGUAGAUAUUGGGAAGAACACCGGUGGCGAAGGCGGCGACCUGGUCCUUGACUGACGCUGAGGCGCGAAAGCGUGGGGAGCAAACAGGAUUAGAUACCCGAGU
This 230-nucleotide ribosomal RNA is filed under the name uncultured bacterium. RNAcentral's name for it is "partial 16S ribosomal RNA". It matches the Rfam family "Bacterial small subunit ribosomal RNA", at positions 562 to 791 of the family's 1533-position model. The record is from RNAcentral.